RNAcentral lists this small RNA (172 nucleotides) under Mycobacterium simiae. Its description in RNAcentral is "Magnesium sequence". It matches the Rfam family "M-box riboswitch aptamer (ykoK leader)". From Rfam's summary of the family: M-box riboswitch, also know as ykoK leader is described as a metaloregulatory RNA that sense divalent metals and function as a genetic control element of genes related to divalent metal transport in bacteria. It was first reported upstream of the B.subtilis ykoK gene and genes with related functions in other bacteria. Phylogenetic analysis of the distribution of M-box RNAs across bacterial genomes revealed that M-box riboswitches are most often employed for the regulation of Mg2+ transporter genes Lineage: Bacteria; Bacillati; Actinomycetota; Actinomycetes; Mycobacteriales; Mycobacteriaceae. The record is from RNAcentral.
CAAGCACCUCGGUAGGUGAGGCGUCUGCACGGAUACAGGCCACUGACCCCGAACGUCGAGAGACGCCCCGGGUCAGGACAGCUCUUCCCGGACCCAAGGGUUGAGCCCAAGUGGCUUCUGACUAGUUCGGAUACGCCGUGCAGUGCCGAAGCUCCGACGAGAGGGGUGCGGC